This 1349-nucleotide ribosomal RNA is filed under the name metagenome. RNAcentral's name for it is "bacterial LSU rRNA". It matches the Rfam family "Bacterial large subunit ribosomal RNA", at positions 1564 to 2925 of the family's 2925-position model. The record is from RNAcentral.
UGAGUGCGAGCUGCUACGGCAGCGAAGUGGGUGACGUCAAGCUUCCAAGAAAAGCCCUAGACCCGUUAAGGCAUGAUUGCCUGUACCCGAAACCGACACAGGUGGGGUGGUAGAGAAUACCGAGGGGCGCGAGGUAACUCUCUCUAAGGAACUCGGCAAAAUGGCCCCGUAACUUCGGGAGAAGGGGUGCCAGCGAGAGCUGGUCGCAGUGAAGAGGCCCAGGCGACUGUUUACCAAAAACACAGGUCUCCGCUAAGUCGCAAGACGAUGUAUGGGGGCUGACGCCUGCCCAGUGCCGGAAGGUUAAGGAAGCUGGUCAGCGCAAGCGAAGCUGGCGACUGAAGCCCCGGUGAACGGCGGCCGUAACUAUAACGGUCCUAAGGUAGCGAAAUUCCUUGUCGGGUAAGUUCCGACCCGCACGAAAGGCGUAACGAUCUGGGCGCUGUCUCGGAGAGAGGCUCGGCGAAAUAGAAUUGUCUGUGAAGAUGCGGACUACGUGCACCCGGACAGAAAGACCCUAUGAAGCUUUACUGUAGCUUGGUAUUGUGCUCGGGCUCGGAAUGCGCAGAAUAGGUGGGAGGCAUUGAUCCAUUGCUUGCGGGUGAUGGUGAGCCACUGGUGAGAUACCACUCUUUUCGAGCUUAAGUUCUAACGGCCACCCGUUAUCCGGGGGCCGGACAGUAUCAGGUGGGCAGUUUGACUGGGGCGGUCGCCUCCUAAAAGGUAACGGAGGCGCGCAAAGGUCUGCUCAGGCUGGUUGGAAAUCAGCCGACGAGUGUAAAAGCAGAAGCAGGCUUGACUGUGAGACCUACAAGUCGAACAGGGAGGAAACUCGGCUUUAGUGAUCCGACGGUUCUGCGUGGAAGGGCCGUCGCUCAACGGAUAAAAGUUACUCUAGGAUAACAGGCUGAUCUCCCCCAAGAGUUCACAUCGACGGGGAGGUUUGGCACCUCGAUGUCGGCUCAUCGCAACCUGGGGCUGAAGUCGGUCCCAAGGGUUGGGCUGUUCGCCCAUUAAAGCGGUACGCGAGCUGGGUUCAGAACGUCGUGAGACAGUUCGGUCCAUAUCCGGUGCACGCGCAGGAAUAUUGAGAGGAUUUCUCCCUAGUACGAGAGGACCGGGAGGAACGCACCUCUGGUGUGCCAGUUAUCGUGCCAACGGUAAACGCUGGGUAGCCAUGUGCGGAGAGGAUAACCGCUGAAAGCAUCUAAGUGGGAAGCCCACCUCAAGAUGAGUAUUCCCAUGGCGUUAAGCCAGUAAGGUCACGGGAAGAACACCCGUUGAUAGGCUCUAUGUGGAAGCGCAGUAAUGCGUGAAGCAGAGGAGUACUAAUAGACCGAGGGCUUGAC